ACCUGACUGCUAUCGGAUUGGUACUAAGCCAUGUGAGUCAUGUAGCAAUACAAGGCAUACGGCUCAGUAACACGUAGUCAAUCUGCCCUAUGGACGUGGAUAACCUCGGGAAACUGAGAAUAAUCCGCGAUAGAUCAUAAUGCUGGAACGGUUUAUGGUCCAAAUGAUUCGUCGCCAUAGGAUGGGACUGCGGCCUAUCAGCUUGUUGGUGAGGUAAUGGCCCACCAAGGCUAUUACAGGUACGGGCUCUGAGAGGAGAAGCCCGGAGAUGGGUACUGAGACACGGACCCAGGCCCUAUGGGGCGCAGCAGGCGAGAAACCUUUGCAAUGUGCGCAAGCACGACAAGGUUAAUCCGAGUGUUUCCUGCUAAAGGAAUCUUUUGUUAGUUCUAAAACCACUGAUGAAUAAGGGGUGGGCAAGUUCUGGUGUCAGCCGCCGCGGUAAAACCAGCACCUCAAGUGGUCAGGAGGAUUAUUGGGCCUAAAGCAUCCGUGGCCGGUUCUGUAAGUUUUCGGUUAAAUCCACUAGCUCAACUAAUGGGCUGCCGGAAAUACUGCAGAACUAGGGAGUGGGAGAGGUAGACGGUACUCGGGAGGAAGGGGUAAAAUCCUUUGAUCUCUUGAUGACCACCUGUGGCGAAGGCGGUCUACCAGAACACGUUCGACGGUGAGGGAUGAAAGCUGGGGGAGCAAACCGGAUUAGAUACCCGGGUAGUCCCAGCUGUAAACGAUGCAGACUCGGUGAUGCACUGGCUUUUGGCCAGUGCAGUGCCGCAGGGAAGCCGUUAAGUUUGCCGCCUGGGAAGUACGUACGCAAGUAUGAAACUUAAAGGAAUUGGCGGGGGAGCACCACAAGGGGUGAAGCCUGCGGUUCAAUUGGAUUCAACGCC
RNAcentral lists this ribosomal RNA (890 nucleotides) under uncultured archaeon. Its description in RNAcentral is "bacterial SSU rRNA". It matches the Rfam family "Archaeal small subunit ribosomal RNA", at positions 21 to 919 of the family's 1478-position model. The record is from RNAcentral.